This 1030-nucleotide long non-coding RNA is filed under the name Homo sapiens (human). RNAcentral describes it as "long non-coding RNA NONHSAT192219.1". The record is from RNAcentral. Lineage: Eukaryota; Metazoa; Chordata; Mammalia; Primates; Hominidae.
GCCGGCCAGAUGUGGCGGGGGAGAGCCGGGGCUUUGCUCCGGGUGUGGGGGUUUUGGCCGACAGGGGUUCCCAGAAGGAGACCGCUAAGCUGCGAUGCUGCGUCGCAGGCGGGAAGCAAUUAUCCCCGCUGUUGGAACUGCGGCGGCCCAUGGGGCCCCGGGCGGGAGGACAGGUUCUUCUGCCCACAGUGCCGAGCGCUGCAGGCACCUGACCCCACUCGAGACUACUUCAGCCUUAUGGACUGCAACCGUUCCUUCAGAGUUGAUACAGCGAAGCUCCAGCACAGGUACCAGCAACUGCAGCGUCUUGUCCACCCAGAUUUCUUCAGCCAGAGGUCUCAGACUGAAAAGGACUUCUCAGAGAAGCAUUCGACCCUGGUGAAUGAUGCCUAUAAGACCCUCCUGGCCCCCCUGAGCAGAGGACUGUACCUUGUAAGCUCCAUGGAAUAGAGAUUCCUGAAAGGACAGAUUAUGAAAUGGACAGGCAAUUCCUCAUAGAAAUAAUGGAAAUCAAUGAAAAACUCGCAGAAGCUGAAAGUGAAGCUGCCAUGAAAGAGAUUGAAUCCAUUGUCAAAGCUAAACAGAAAGAAUUUACUGACAAUGUGAGCAGUGCUUUUGAACAAGAUGACUUUGAAGAAGCCAAGGAAAUUUUGACAAAGAUGAGAUACUUUUCAAAUAUAGAAGAAAAGAUCAAGUUAAAGAAGAUUCCCCUUUAAUUGUGGAUAGUUUAAAGUUUAAAAAAUAAAGUUCUUGCUGGGCACAGUGGCUCACACCUGUAAUCCCAGCACUUUGGGAGGCUGAGGUGGGUGGAUGACAAGGUCAGGAGUUCAAGACCAGCUUGGCCAACAUAGUGAAACCCCGUCUCUGCUGAAAAUACAAAAAUUAGCCGGGCAUGGUGGCGCGUGCCUGUAAUCCCAGCUACUUGGUAGGCCGAGGCAGGAGAAUCGCUUAAACCCGUGAGGUGGAGGUUGCAGUGAGCAGAGAUCACGCAACUGCACUCCAGCUUGGGCAACAGAGUGAGACUUAAUCU